AGUGAACGCUGGCGGCAGGCCUAAUACAUGCAAGUCGAACGGCAGCACAGCAGAGCUUGCUCUGUGGGUGGCGAGUGGCGGACGGGUGAGGAAUACAUGGGAAUCUGCCCAGUCGUGGGGGAUAACGUAGGGAAACUUACGCUAAUACCGCAUGCGCCCUUCGGGGGAAAGCCGGGGACCUUCGGGCCUGGCGCGAUUGGAUGAGCCAUGUCGGAUUAGCUAGUUGGCGGGGUAAUGGCCCACCAAGGCGACGAUCCGUAGCUGGUCUGAGAGGAUGAUCAGCCACACUGGAACUGAGACACGGUCCAGACUCCUACGGGAGGCAGCAGUAGGGAAUAUUGGACAAUGGGCGCAAGCCUGAUCCAGCCGAUGCCGCGUGAGUGAAGAAGGCCCU
This 394-nucleotide ribosomal RNA is filed under the name uncultured bacterium. RNAcentral's name for it is "bacterial SSU rRNA". It matches the Rfam family "Bacterial small subunit ribosomal RNA", at positions 30 to 418 of the family's 1533-position model. The record is from RNAcentral.